Molecule: ribosomal RNA, 253 nt
Filed under: uncultured bacterium
Lineage: Bacteria
Description: partial 16S ribosomal RNA
Rfam family: Bacterial small subunit ribosomal RNA
Source: RNAcentral
CACGUAGGGCGCAAGCGUUGUCCGGAAUUAUUGGGCGUAAAGAGCUCGUAGGCGGUUUGUCGCGUCUGCUGUGAAAACUCGGGGCUUAACCCCGGGCCUGCAGUGGGUACGGGCAGACUAGAGUGCGGUAGGGGAGACUGGAAUUCCUGGUGUAGCGGUGAAAUGCGCAGAUAUCGGGAGGAACACCUAUGGCGAAGGCAGCUCGCUGGGACGUUACUGACGCUGAGACGCGAAAGCGUGGGGAGCAAACAGG